GGGGAGAUGCCCGAGUGGCCAAUGGGAGCGGGCUGUAAACCCGCCGGCUUACGCCUACAGAGGUUCAAAUCCUCUUCUCCCCACCA
RNAcentral lists this transfer RNA (86 nucleotides) under Pseudomonadota bacterium. Its description in RNAcentral is "tRNA-Tyr". It matches the Rfam family "tRNA". Rfam says of the family: Transfer RNA (tRNA) molecules are approximately 80 nucleotides in length. Their secondary structure includes four short double-helical elements and three loops (D, anti-codon, and T loops). Lineage: Bacteria; Pseudomonadati; Pseudomonadota. The record is from RNAcentral. RNAcentral also lists the same sequence under 1 other name.